Molecule: long non-coding RNA, 643 nt
Organism: Hibiscus syriacus
Lineage: Eukaryota; Viridiplantae; Streptophyta; Magnoliopsida; Malvales; Malvaceae
Exons: 3
Source: RefSeq, a predicted model, not a curated record
CCAUUUUUCAAUCACUACCAAACCCCAAACCAAUCUGCUUCGAUGCCGAUCUCAUGUUUAUUAAUUUGGUAGUUUUUUCUUCGGUAUUUUGCUACUGUAAGAUUCGUCUCUUCCGAAAAUCAAAAGUUGUGGUUUUGUUUUAUUUAAGGAGAAGGGAAUCGGGAAUCAUCAAGACACCAGAUUCGAUUGUUUUUUGUUAGCGUUCGUGCGCCACAAAGAAGAUUGAGAAGACGUUAGAUAUUUGAGGGUUUUUUUUAUAAUCCCGGAAUGAUUUUUUGUAUGGACUUUAGCAAGUAAUCUACUCAGUCAAGGUGGAGGGUUUCACCAAGGAGUACUAAUUUCUCUAUACUUAUGGAGAGGGUUUAUGGAUCCUCAAACGGAAAUGGACCGACUAGUAAUGGCCACAUGGUUACAAGGCACUCUCCUUACAAGUCAUUCUCUAAGGGAUUGUUACGAUGGUCGAUGUAAGAGUUUUCUAUGUCAGAGUAACAUCCAUUUUACAUUGUAAUUAGCCUUAUAUACAUCCAUGGAUAAAUACCUUCAUGGUUUGUGAGCCCUUGCUAAUGACCCUGCAGCAGAAGUGCGGAAAUUGGUGAAUAGUUUCUGCUUUUCUCUUUUAUUCUUAUUGUAUUGAUAAUAUAUA